This 253-nucleotide ribosomal RNA is filed under the name uncultured bacterium. RNAcentral's name for it is "partial 16S ribosomal RNA". It matches the Rfam family "Bacterial small subunit ribosomal RNA", at positions 524 to 776 of the family's 1533-position model. The record is from RNAcentral.
GACAGAGGGUGCUAGCGUUGUUCGGAAUUACUGGGCGUAAAGGGCGCGUAGGCGGCUCGUUUAGUCGGGUGUGAAAUCCCGGGGCUCAACCCCGGAACUGCAUUCGAUACUGGCGGGCUAGAGACCGGAAGAGGUGGGUGGAAUACCCAGUGUAGAGGUGAAAUUCGUAGAUAUUGGGUGGAACACCGGUGGCGAAGGCGGCUCACUGGUCCGGUUCUGACGCUGAGGCGCGAAAGCGUGGGUAGCGAACAGG